Molecule: ribosomal RNA, 253 nt
Filed under: uncultured bacterium
Lineage: Bacteria
Description: partial 16S ribosomal RNA
Rfam family: Bacterial small subunit ribosomal RNA
Source: RNAcentral
UACGGAGGGGGCUAGCGUUGUUCGGAAUUAUUGGGCGUAAAGCGCACGUAGGCGGCUUUGUAAGUUAGAGGUGAAAGCCCGGAGCUCAACUCCGGAAUUGCCUUUAAGACUGCAUCGCUAGAAUUGUGGAGAGGUGAGUGGAAUUCCGAGUGUAGAGGUGAAAUUCGUAGAUAUUCGGAAGAACACCAGUGGCGAAGGCGACUCACUGGACACAUAUUGACGCUGAGGUGCGAAAGCGUGGGGAGCAAACAGG